GAUGAACGCUGGCGGCGUGCCUAAUACAUGCAAGUCGAGCGAACGGACGAGAAGCUUGCUUCUCUGAUGUUAGCGGCGGACGGGUGAGUAACACGUGCAUAACCUACCUAUAAGACUGGGAUAACUUCGGGAAACCGGAGCUAAUACCGGAUAAUAUUUUGAACCGCAUGGUUCAAAAGUGAAAGACGGUCUUGCUGUCACUUAUAGAUGGAUCCGCGCUGCAUUAGCUAGUUGGUAAGGUAACGGCUUACCAAGGCAACGAUGCAUAGCCGACCUGAGGGGGUGAUCGGCCACACUGGAACUGAGACACGGUCCAGACUCCUACGGGAGGCAGCAGUAGGGAAUCUUCCGCAAUGGGCGAAAGCCUGACGGAGCAACGCCGCGUGAGUGAUGAAGGUCUUCGGAUCGUAAAACUCUGUUAUUAGGGAAGAACAUAUGUGUAAGUAACUGUGCACAUCUUGACGGUACCUAAUCAGAAAGCCACGGCUAACUACGUG
RNAcentral lists this ribosomal RNA (497 nucleotides) under uncultured bacterium. RNAcentral describes it as "partial 16S ribosomal RNA". It matches the Rfam family "Bacterial small subunit ribosomal RNA", at positions 28 to 507 of the family's 1533-position model. The record is from RNAcentral.